AUAGCAACCUUAUGUCUUCAAGGUACUAAAAUGUCUCUACUUUUUAAAACAUUAUAUUUACAAAUUUUAUAUAAAUUCAUAGUACAUUUUGAAUCCAACUUGUCAAUUCACUCAGAUGUUUCCACAGCUAUAGGCCUUGGAGCCUAUCCCACUGAUUAAAGAUAGGGACUAGCACAUGAUUAAACCAAAAUAACUUCAUUUACUUUUACUGUUUCCCUUGAAAGGAUGCCUUCAUACUCCUUAUAAUCAGAGGUUAAAAAUAGAGAACAUAUUGAAACAUAGAGACCUUGCUAUCACAACUACAAUCAAAGCCAGCAAGUUAAUAUAAACUAGCCACUUGAGUAUAUAACUGCAACAUAUACAGAGUUAAAUACUCAUUGGGAUCAAUAUAAAUGUGAGGAAAUUCAGUCAAUAAUAUUGAAAUCAUACGGUCACUAUUUUCCCCUAGUGUAGUGAUUUCAGUACUUGGGAAUACACCAUGCUAUGGUCUGAAUGCAUACGGCCGUCCAAAAUUCUUACGUUGGAACCUAAUACUCAAGAUGAUAGUAUUAAAAUGUGAGGCCUUUUGAGAACUCAUUAGGUCCUAAGCGCUCCAUCCUCAUGAAUGGAUUAGUGCUCUUAUAAAAGAGGUGACUAGAGCAUCCUAGUGCCUUUUGCUCUUUCUGCCUUUCUCCCUUAUGAGAAUAAAACAAGAUGUCAUCCUGGAAGCAGAUAGCAAGCUCACCAGACACUGUGUCUGCUAGUAUCUCGAUCUUGGACUUCCCAGCCUCCAGAACCAUGAGAAAUAAAUUGUUAUUAUUUAUAAAUUAUGCAGGUAUAUAGCAGC
Molecule: long non-coding RNA, 826 nt
Filed under: Homo sapiens (human)
Lineage: Eukaryota; Metazoa; Chordata; Mammalia; Primates; Hominidae
Description: HSALNT0081531
Source: RNAcentral